UAAAUAUUCCCUCCGUCCGGAAAUACUCGGAGGAAUGAAUGUAUCUAGAUAUACUUUAGUUCUAGAUACAUUCAUGUUUAUGCAUUUCUUCGACAAGUAUUUCCGGACGAAGGGAGUAGAUU
Non-coding RNA from Triticum aestivum (bread wheat), 122 nucleotides. Lineage: Eukaryota; Viridiplantae; Streptophyta; Magnoliopsida; Poales; Poaceae. The record is from Rfam.